Molecule: long non-coding RNA, 944 nt
Filed under: Pandoravirus salinus
Description: putative ncRNA
Source: RNAcentral
GUCGCACAGGACCGUGGCAAACUCGGUGCCGUCUACGCCCACAAUGCUGGCCGCAAACUGGGGGAUAUCCAUGGAGACGAUCCAUUGCAGGAGCGCGUGACCAAAGUGCGUCGGGAGGCGAGCCAAGCCGACGAGCGUCAUGGGGACGGCCAAAGGCACCCGAGGCCACGUGUGACGGUUGACGAUGGCGCUAAACCAUGGCUCGGUGCCGCAUGCCUCCUCCCAGAGGCACGGCAGCACUUGCACAAACUGGUCGUUGUCCAUGGCGCCUGCCAUGCGUUCGGUUGCGGGCGCACGCCGACAUUGAGCCGCGCCCAACAGACACUGUCGUCGCAUCUCGUGUCGCUCGUCGGCAGAGAAAUGGCAAGACAGAGCAUCUAUCGCGUGGUCCAGGCCCAUGUUGGCCGCCACGGAAGCGAACCCGCGCACCGUCGCAUCUCGUCCCAUCGGACACGCAGUGGUUGUUGCGGCGUAAUCUACCGCGUCGUCGACAGCCGUCUGGCCCAUGGCGUCAAUAGCGACAAGCGACACGCCGAUGGCGUCAACGUCGCAGACCGAACGUAUCUCGUCAGCGGCUUGGCGCCAGCGGGCCGGAUCGGUGAACGCAUCAAUGUCGCGCACCAAACUAAAGGGCACUUGCCAUGACGAUCCCUCACGCGUGACAAAAGCACGCGGCGCACAAUGGCGCGGCACGGUGCCGAGUAUAACAUGCCAAAGUCGACACACGGCACGGACGAGGGCAUGCCACCGCGGUUCGAGAAAUGGUGAGCCUUUUCUUGUUGAUGAACCCGCCAGAAUCAUCUCCACCAUCUCCACCGGCAGUCUGUCGAAAGACGCCAGUGCAGCAUCGUCCCUGAUGGGCCCGAUACACGCCGCCGUGCUUCUUUUCAUGUCCUGUGCCGUUUUGUCGUACACACGCGAAAUAAACUCGACGCGCUCACUGA